Non-coding RNA from Oryctolagus cuniculus (rabbit), 4725 nucleotides. The record is from RefSeq and is a predicted model, not a curated record. Lineage: Eukaryota; Metazoa; Chordata; Mammalia; Lagomorpha; Leporidae.
UUCACCGAGCUCUAAUGGGAAGAGUGCGAGUUGAGGCAGAACAGGGCAUGUAAGGAGAGGUACUGAGAAUCUGAUAGGAAGGGGAAUGCAGAGUGUUGUGACCACAAGCAGAAGACUGACCUUCCAAACAGCACCAUCGGGAAAUCUCUAAAACGUGGAGAUGCACAGUGCUAGCUCAAGUCCCAGCUACUCCACUUUGGAUCCAGCUUCCUAACAUGCGUGGAAAGGCAGUGGAAAAUGUCUCAAGCGUUUGGGCUACUACCACCCAUGUGGGAGAUUUGGAUGGAGUUCCCAGUUCCUGGUUUUGAACUAGCCAUGUCAUGCCUGUUUUGGCCAUUUGUGGAAUGAACCAGAAGGUGAUGUCAUGUGUCACCUAAGGAUUCUGCCAGCAAGAAGGUCAUCUAUAUGGAGUAGCCUGCCUCUGAUAUUUGAUUACAAUGAAUAAUGGACUAAUGAAGUUCCUGAGUUCAAGUAUCUCAAGCCCAUGCAACCCUUCCUUGGCUGAGGUGGUCAAUGUCUCGGCAUAUCUACCACCACUGGGGGCAACGGUUUAAGCCAAGAUGUGCAAGCUGGGAAGUGCUCACUUUUUUGUGACUGGGGAGAGUAAGUAUUAAACUAUCUUUCACAGACUUCUGCUGCAUUUAGAUAAUCUCAGUGGUACAUUUUUCAUAGCUCCAUCAUUUAAAAGUGGAAUAAAACUCCUUCCAAGAAAUGUUUCCCUUUAUUUAACUAUAUUUUGUAUAUCUAUGCCUAUUCUUUCUCCAAGGCCAUCUGUCUAUCCAAUAUAAGGCAGGCAUGAUUUUUCUAUGUAGAGCAUUUCUCUCAAUCUAAAGUAUCUGUUAAUUGAGAGUUUUUCAAUUGAUUCUUCCAGAAAUAUUUCUAAUCAUUUAGAAGUAUUUAAAUUUAAGCUGAUAUAUAAAAAGAAUAUGGCUUAAAUUUACAUAUCAAUGUAAUAAUUAUUUAUUGGGCUAUUUUAUUAUUUUGCAAUGCUUUCUUCUCAUUAUUCUGUUUCAGGUUUUUUUUUUUUUCUCAUAAUGUUGUAUCAAAUUGGAACAAUCAAAAGAGAAUGUUUUUGUAAAACAAGCUAUAAAAAUUGUCUCAGUAAAUAUUUUGGCAACUUAACCAAUAUGUUUCCUGUCACACUCUAACCUCAGAAAAAUGAGAGGGAAAAAAGAACAUCAUUAGAUUACUUUAAUACUCAUCCAAAAGAUAUCUCAUAUCUACAGACAAGCAUACAGGAAAGAAUUUGAGAGAAUGAGGCAAAUUAGAAAGUGGAUCAAUGACAUAGCAAUUGAAGUUUAUCAAUUCAAAAUCAGCAUCUAUCAUUCCCGUAUGUUCUUAUAGGUACUGAAGCAAUAAAAAGAGAAUGCAAGGAAAACAUUUCUGAGGAAUCCUCAUAGUUUAGCAACAAUGGCAGGUGUAGGUUUCUCAAAUAAAAACACACAUUCCAAUAGGAAAAUAAACCAGCUACUAUUUAUGUAAACCAUGACUGUAUCUGAGAAAUACAGACUCCUUUCAAUAGUUAAUUUUAGAGUUUAAUUAGCAUCUAAUUUUCAUAAGAUAUGUACAUAAUUCUAAUAUUUUACAGUUAUAUUUGUCAGUUAAUGCCAUCUCUUCCAUGUAUGUAAAAAUUAGACAAAAAAUAAUGUUCUAAAGGGGAUCUAUAUAAGUCCUCCAGAUAAUCCAGAUAAUUUUCAUGCAAGUUAAAUUAGGAAACCAUUACUUUUUUCUGGACUAAAUCUCUGAGAAAUUUAAUACCUUAAAUAUUUACAUAUAUUUUGAAUGUAUUUGAAGAACCUGACUAUAUUCUCUGGUAUUAAAACAUUAUUACACAAGCAAAGAAAUUUGAGAUGCAGUAGCAUCUUUUUAAUGCUUGUGAGUCACUAAUCCUUUGAAGUGAUAACUCACGAUGAUAAAGUAAGAAUAUGUUAACCAUAGUAUAAAUAAAAGAGAAACUUUGGGACAAGCAUAGUAAGUUAAGCCUCCACUUGUGAUGCUGCAAUCCUAAAUCAGAGCAUCUGUUCCAGUCCUGGCUGUUCCACUUCUGAUCCAGCUUCCUGCCAAUGCGCCAGUGAAGACAACAGAAAAUGGUUCCACUGCUUUGGCCUCUGCCAUCAAUGUGGAAGCUCAGGAUGGAGUCCCUGUCCUGGCUUCAACCUGGCACAGGCUGGCUUUUGCAGCCAUUCGGGGAAUGAAUCUGUGUAUUGAAGAUCGAUCUCUCUUUCUCUCUCUCUCCCUCUCUCCCUCUCGCCUUGUCUGACAUUCUGCCUUUUAAAACAACCAAUAAAUCAUUUCAAAUAAUGAUAUGACGUUUUUGCAUUGGUUUGAAAGGAGACAGGAAACCUUUUCCAUACCAAAUUUUAGAGAAUUAAUAUUCAUCAAGUAAUAAUCCCAGGUUUCAUAAAGUUCAUUCUGAUGUCAUUAAAAAUACAAGAACAUGUAGACUGGAGAAACUGCGGUUUCAAUAUUAUUGCAUAUAUUUGCUUCAUUAGAGAUCUGCUGAGCCUAAGCUAAAAUUUAAUUUAAAACAUACAAUUAUAAAAUUAUCAAUAUUUACCAAUUUAAAGAAUAAUAUGUUUCAGAAAUAACAACUGAGAAAGCAGGCAUGUCUUGUGCUAAAAUCCACUAUGAACUCAUUUAUGAAGACAUAAAUCAGACCAAAAAAAUAAGACAUAGACCUCAUCUGCAAUUAAAACUAAUGAACUAUUUUUAUCUUACUAACAAUCACCAAAUGUUUCAGAAACAAAAACAAAACCAUUAUAUUUCAAAUUCACAAGAUAAAGAGGAAAACAAAUAUGUUUUAGCAGCUACAUUUUUAAAAGUUUAACUGUAUGUUGUUCUCUAAGAAGAAAUGAACAAAAAAGGUCUUGAGCACAUUAGAUUAUUGUAAGUACUUAUUUCAUGAAUAUGUAAAAGAAAAAUGUAAAAAAAUAAAAUUAUCUUUAAAGCUUUUCCAAUAUGAAAUGUAUUGCCUUUUUUUUUUAGUAGGUAGAUCACCUAGAUUUUAUCUAGACUGGAAUACCUUAAAUUUGGAGUAUUUUUGCAACUUUAUUGUGAUUAUCAUGAAUAUAGGUUAGGAAAGAAAUGCUACUUUGUCUUAAUGUAAUAAAAUUAUAUUUUGCUGUUUAUUUUAUUUAGAGUACGCAUUCUGUUUUUAUUCACUGGGUUGAAGCAUCAUUGUCUUGGUCAUUAAUCACUGAAUAUUCCAGUGAUUUUUGUUUAAGUCUACACAUUUGAGUUCAGUUUCUAUCGAGUUUGCAUUUAUUACAUUGUUAUCCAUAGAGAUAAAAACACAUAAAAUGAUGCCACAAAAAAGUAAAUCUAAUAUAAAAACCUGGCUUUAUCAAUUCAAAUACUUAUGCAGUUCAUUUUUUCUUACCUUUGAAUAUUUAAAACCAAUUGGCUCAUAUGGAAAUUUGUUUGCAUUUUUCAAGGUUCUGUUUGCUACCUAAAAUUCUGAUAGAUUUUGGCAGAAAACAGUGUAAGUGGUAACAGAGUUGGGAGAGAACAGACUUCUACUUCCUGUUCUACUUACAACUUCUAACUUCCACCACUCUCCUCAUAGCAGUACCUUCAUAAACAAAAGAGGAGGCUGAUAGAAUGUCAUGCUGUGGAGUAGUUGGGAUGAGGGAGAUGAAUUCAGAAAUACCAAACUAAUUAUGGCUGAGAUCCAAGGCAAUAUACACAUACCUACUCAGAAAUAACCAACUGUAGCAGGUAGGGACAUAAGCAGUAACAUGGAAUUGAGGCCGCUACCCCACCUGACUCCGGGCUGCCAAGGCACGUAUGAGAAAAGUAUGAGAUCUCCCUGUUGGAAGCAAUUCAUAGUCCAUAUUUGUGUAUAGUCAGGACUUUCUGAGCAAACAUUACUGGCAACCUGGGUUAAAGGUUUGCAUGAUAGAGAUCGUGAAAUACUCAGGGCGUGGAACCUGCUGUUUACUUGGCAAAGUGUUGUACCAACUUAGGGAGCUUCUUCUGGCCUCCUCAGAGGGGAUUUAUUUACAUCACAGAGCAAAAGAUUUCUCUUCCGCUUGGAGGAUGAGGUGGAGGGUGAACCAUCUCUGAAGUUCCAAGAUUCAUAAUUUUGGCCCUCCCCUAAAAAGUUCUCCCUUUUUGGGGCUCAUAUUGGCCCAAAAGGGAAGAGGAGCAAAGGGAACCAGCACUAAGAUUUCUCAUGAGAACUGCAGAGCUCAUGGCACAGAGGAUUCAGUCCCAAGCUCUCUAUUAACAGUCUCCAGCAUAGCUUCCCUCAGCACAGGGCUGUGUCCAUAGGAUGACCACAGCCCUCAAAUCUCUCAAAAUUCCUUCAUGAGCAACUCACACUACCAGGAGAAUUCAGUGUUUGUGUAGUUCAAGGAUGACAGCCCCCUGAUUUUCCUUUCUUAAAAAAGGGCUUGCAAUUGUGAAUGCAUGUACCAUACAACUCUUUCUCAGGAACCCGAAGGAAGGGCCUCUGUCUCCCAAUCUCUAUGGGAAAAUAGAAUCCCAACUUAGAUAACUGCCAGUCAGUGGCCCCCGCUGGCCUCUGGUACCUACCCUGUUUACUUCUGUGACUUAACUGAACACCCCCUCAGCAUUUUCCCUAAUUCUCUCUUAAAACUUCCCAGUCACUUCCAGUUAGAAAUGGAGCUCUCUGUUCUUUUUCUGUUGGCAGUAGUCACUGAAUAAAGUAUCUUUUUACUGCUUUAACUAGUAUCUGGUUGUAUUUAUUUUUGGCAUUAUUUA